UACGUAGGGGGCUAGCGUUGUCCGGAUUUAUUGGGCGUAAAGAGCGUGUAGGCGGCCAGGUAGGUCUGCUGUGAAAACUGGAGGCUUAACCUCCAGACGUCGAUGGAAACCGUAUGGCUAGAGUCCGGAAGAGGAGAGUGGAAUUCCUGGUGUAGCGGUGAAAUGCGCAGAUAUCAGGAAGAACACCCGUGGCGAAGGCGGCUCUCUGGGACGGUACUGACGCUGAGACGCGAAAGCGUGGGGAGCGAACAGG
Molecule: ribosomal RNA, 253 nt
Filed under: uncultured bacterium
Lineage: Bacteria
Description: partial 16S ribosomal RNA
Rfam family: Bacterial small subunit ribosomal RNA
Source: RNAcentral